GGUGUUACGCCGGAUGAACGGAAAUCAUUGAUGUUGAUUAAUAUGGGAUGAAAAGUCUCUGACACUA
RNAcentral lists this transfer RNA (67 nucleotides) under Bolinus brandaris (purple dye murex). RNAcentral describes it as "tRNA-Ile". The record is from RNAcentral. Lineage: Eukaryota; Metazoa; Mollusca; Gastropoda; Neogastropoda; Muricidae.